AUCAAGAAUAUCCCCCAGAGUAAGAUCAUAGAGAUGACGAAUGAGUACCCAUGAUUCGACGUUACAAUGUGAGUCAUCAACAAUUUCCGGUCGGUCGUAAGGUUUUCCUGUUGGAAAACACCGAAAUAAAAAUUUUAGAGUAUAUUUUGUGUUAACUAUUUGAGACUUGUAUUAUUUGAACCUAUAAAUUGUGUUAACAAGUUGAACCUAUAUUUUAUUGCAUUUGGAUUGUGGUUUGUAUUGA
Panicum virgatum (switchgrass) is the source of this 244-nucleotide long non-coding RNA. RefSeq lists it as uncharacterized. The transcript is spliced from 2 exons. The record is from RefSeq and is a predicted model, not a curated record. NCBI's taxonomy places the organism in Eukaryota, Viridiplantae, Streptophyta, Magnoliopsida, Poales, Poaceae.